AGCUUUGCGCAGAGGCGAUAACGUGACCAAUGAGGCUCUGCCGAGGUGCGUUUAUUGCUGGUUGAAACUUCCAUCG
This is a small nuclear RNA of Ancylostoma ceylanicum, 76 nucleotides long. It matches the Rfam family "U4 spliceosomal RNA". From Rfam's summary of the family: U4 small nuclear RNA (U4 snRNA) is a component of the major U2-dependent spliceosome. Lineage: Eukaryota; Metazoa; Nematoda; Chromadorea; Rhabditida; Ancylostomatidae. The record is from Rfam.